GAUAUUAUGCAUAAAAGCUCAUUUCAAAUAUUCAGAAUUACUCAAACAUGUGCACACUCAUAGCAUCAAAUUUUUGUUUUAUCAAAAGAGAUAUAUCACGGCAUAUCAAUAAGUGAAACCUUUAUUUAACAUUGAUUUCAUAUAUCUUAUCAUCUAUUUCUUUUAUCAUAGUUUCAGAUUUGAUAAUUUUUUUUCGGCUUUGGAC
This 205-nucleotide long non-coding RNA is filed under the name Elaeis guineensis (African oil palm). Its description in RNAcentral is "long non-coding RNA (EGUI_LNC075427)". The record is from RNAcentral. Lineage: Eukaryota; Viridiplantae; Streptophyta; Magnoliopsida; Arecales; Arecaceae.